CAUGGGACUGUACGGUCAGUCAAAAAAGCAAAACUUACAACAUUACACUUCAAAAGAAAUGUCAUAUGAAUCUGUUUUAUUAUUUAGUUCUUACGCAACAUUUUACGUCGAUAUAUCUGGAGCGCUGUUACUAAUACAGCACGAUUAAUGAUUAUUCUUACGUCUUAUACAUACAUUAUAUACAACACUUUGCAACAGCAUGCAUUUUCACAAUAAAAUGCCACAAGAUGAGGUGAAAUAAUGACAUUUAUUGAGAAUUAGCUACAUUUCAAGAUUGGAGAGUGUACUCGCUCUGAGAACAUUAUGGAAUCUCCAUUUAUGAUGUAGUAGCUUGACUCGGUAGCCUUACCAAAGUAUCACUUUCUGUCUGCAAACAAAGGAGGCCACUGACCUCCCAAGUCUGGGCUUGAAACAAGCCACAUGUUUGUCACCAUGCACCAAUGAGAGAUGUCACAUUGCGCCGGAACUUCUGGCGAAACUGUUAAUUUUUCGUUGUGCACCAUGCCUCAGAGAAAGUGCUCAC
Molecule: long non-coding RNA, 523 nt
Filed under: Elaeis guineensis (African oil palm)
Lineage: Eukaryota; Viridiplantae; Streptophyta; Magnoliopsida; Arecales; Arecaceae
Description: long non-coding RNA (EGUI_LNC064252)
Source: RNAcentral